AGUGAACGCUGGCGGUAGGCCUAACACAUGCAAGUCGAACGGCAGCACAGUAAGAGCUUGCUCUUACGGGUGGCGAGUGGCGGACGGGUGAGGAAUACAUCGGAAUCUACUUUUUCGUGGGGGAUAACGUAGGGAAACUUACGCUAAUACCGCAUACGACCUACGGGUGAAAGCAGGGGAUCUUCGGACCUUGCGCGAUUGAAUGAGCCGAUGUCGGAUUAGCUAGUUGGCGGGGUAAAGGCCCACCAAGGCGACGAUCCGUAGCUGGUCUGAGAGGAUGAUUAGCCAGACGGGAAGUGAGACAGGGUACAGACUCCUACGGGAGGAAGCAGUGGGGAAUAUUGGACAAAGGGGGCAAGCCUGAUACAGCAAUACCGCGUGGGUGAAGAAGGCCUUAGGGUUGUAAAGCCCUUUUGUUGGGAAAGAAAAGCAGCAGGUUAAUACGCCGCUGUUCUGACGGUACCCAAAGAAUAAGCACCGGCUAACUUCGUG
RNAcentral lists this ribosomal RNA (492 nucleotides) under uncultured bacterium. RNAcentral describes it as "partial 16S ribosomal RNA". It matches the Rfam family "Bacterial small subunit ribosomal RNA", at positions 29 to 507 of the family's 1533-position model. The record is from RNAcentral.